UUAUGAUUUUCAUUAUUUCAGCAAAAAGGAAUGUAAUAGGAGAGCAGGGUGAUAAUAAGGAGAAGGUCAACAAAAAACAUGUGAGCAAAAGAAUCUAUAUCAUAAUUAAGUUCAAGGGAAGGUACUAUGACUGGACUUGCACGUAGGCCAGAUUUAUGUUUCUCUCCACCCAAAUAUCUCAGUGGGGUAAAGAACAACAAGGCAGCAUUACUGCAACAUGUCUCGCCUCCCGCCACAGGGCAGCUUUUCUCCUAGCUCAGACUUGAACAAAUGUACAAUCGGGUUUACACCGAGACAUUCAAUUCCCAGGGGCAAGCAGGAGACAGUGGCCUUCCUCCAUCUCAACUGCAAGAGGCUUUCCUCUUUGACUAAUCCACCUCAGCGCAGACGCUUUAUGGGUGUCAGGCUGGGGGACAGUCAGGUCUUUCUCAUCCCACGAGGCCAUAUUUCAGACUAUCACAUAGGGAGAAACCUUGGACAAUACACUGCUUUCAAGGGCAGGGCUCCCUGCGGCUUUCCACGGUGCAUUGUGCCCCUGGUUUAUUGUGACUAGAGAAUGGCAAUGACUUUUACCAAGUAUACUGCUUGUAAACAUUUGGUUAACAAGGCACGUCCUGCACAGCCCUAGAUCCCUUAAACCUUGAUUUUAUACAACACAUGUUUUUGUGAACUCCAAGUUGGGUCAAAGUGACUGAGGCAAAGUGGCUGGGGCAAAGCUACAAAUGAACAACAUCUCAGCAAAGCAAUUGUUAGAGUACAGAUCUUUUUCAAAAUGGAGUCUCUUAUGUCUUCCCUUUCUACAUAGACACAGUGACAG
RNAcentral lists this long non-coding RNA (817 nucleotides) under Homo sapiens (human). RNAcentral describes it as "HSALNT0171316". Lineage: Eukaryota; Metazoa; Chordata; Mammalia; Primates; Hominidae. The record is from RNAcentral.